GUGCUUACUUCAGCAGCACGGAUGCUAAAAUUGGAAGGAUACAGAGAAGAUUAGCAUGGCCUCUGGGCAAGGAUGACAUACAAAUUCGUGAAGUCCCCCGUAUGUUU
Capra hircus (goat) is the source of this 107-nucleotide small nuclear RNA. The record is from Ensembl. Lineage: Eukaryota; Metazoa; Chordata; Mammalia; Artiodactyla; Bovidae.